UACGUAGGGGCUAGCGUUAUCCGGAUUUACUGGGCGUAAAGGGUGCGUAGGCGGUCUUUCAAGUCAGGAGUGAAAGGCUACGGCUCAACCGUAGUAAGCUCUUGAAACUGUAAGACUUGAGUGCAGGAGAGGAGAGUGGAAUUCCUAGUGUAGAGGUGAAAUGCGUAGAUAUUCGGAGGAACACCAGUGGCGAAGGCGGCUUGCUGGGGUCUAACUGACGCUGAGGCUCGAAAGUGUGGGGAGCAAACAGGAUUAGAUACCCCGGUAGUCCCUGAG
This 276-nucleotide ribosomal RNA is filed under the name uncultured prokaryote. RNAcentral describes it as "partial 16S ribosomal RNA". It matches the Rfam family "Bacterial small subunit ribosomal RNA", at positions 524 to 801 of the family's 1533-position model. The record is from RNAcentral.